AGAGCUGUCAUUGGAAUUAGCUGUGUUUGUCCUGAGAAUCCUAUAGUUUUGGCAUAUUUACCAGACGUGGGGAGAUGAGAGGCAUAAUUUGGUUUUACACAUGUCCUGAAUGGAGCACGAGAAGGGCCGGAGGAAGGAAAGAACGAGGGACAUUAUAUCCACAAUGACAAUUUAAUUAGUGAUGUCUGUCAAGCAGUGUGCUCUAUUUGGGACUGUGUCCCCCUACAUACACUGGACAACCUGAAAGAGACCUGUCUUGUAUUGUCAGCAUGUCACCAUUUUCCUCUGGAGAUUUCAGUGUCAGAACAGUAAAUACAAAGAAAAACACGUCUAUAGAAG
This 339-nucleotide long non-coding RNA is filed under the name Salmo salar (Atlantic salmon). RNAcentral describes it as "lncRNA (ENSSSAG00000106314.1)". Lineage: Eukaryota; Metazoa; Chordata; Actinopteri; Salmoniformes; Salmonidae. The record is from RNAcentral.